UGGUGGGGUGACUUGUUUGCUUAAUUGCGAUAACGAACGAGACCUUAACCUGCUAAAUAGCCCGCAUUGCUCCGGCAGUGCGCUGGCUUCUUAGAGGGACUUUCGGCUCAAGCCGAAGGAAGUUUGAGGCAAUAACA
RNAcentral lists this ribosomal RNA (137 nucleotides) under uncultured eukaryote. RNAcentral's name for it is "partial 18S ribosomal RNA". It matches the Rfam family "Eukaryotic small subunit ribosomal RNA", at positions 1299 to 1458 of the family's 1831-position model. The record is from RNAcentral.